UCGUAACAAGGUCUCCGUUGGUGAACCAGCGGAGGGAUCAUUACCGAGUUUUCAACUCCCUAACCCUUAUGUGAACCUACCUAUUGUUGCUUCGGCGGACUCGCCCCAGCCGGACGCGGACUGGACCAGCGGCCGCCGGGGACCCUCAAACUCUUGUAUUAUCAGCAUCUUCUGAAUCCGCCGCAAGGCAAAACAAAUAAAUCAAAACUUUCAACAACGGAUCUCUUGGCUCUGGCAUCGAUGAAGAACGCAGCGAAACGCGAUAAGUAAUGUGAAUUGCAGAAUCCAGUGAAUCAUCGAAUCUUUGAACGCACAUUGCGCCCGCCAGCAUUCUGGCGGGCAUGCCUGUUCGAGCGUCAUUUCAACCCUCGACCUCCCUUUGGGGAAGUCGGCGUUGGGGACCGGCAGCACACCGCCGGCCCUGAAAUGGAGUGGCGGCCCGUCCGCGGCGACCUCUGCGUAGUAAUCCAACUCGCACCGGAACCCCGACGUGGCCACGCCGUAAAACACCCAACUUCUGAACGUUGACCUCGAAUCAGGUAGGACUACCCGCUGAACUUAAGCAUAUCAUAGU
This 574-nucleotide ribosomal RNA is filed under the name Beauveria bassiana. RNAcentral describes it as "eukaryotic LSU rRNA". The stretch from base 206 to 359 matches the Rfam family "5.8S ribosomal RNA". The record is from RNAcentral. Lineage: Eukaryota; Fungi; Ascomycota; Sordariomycetes; Hypocreales; Cordycipitaceae.